UCCAUUGAAUUCUUCUUUUUACAUGUCAAUCAAAUUGAAAGUAACGGUCAAAGUCAAUUGGUAACUAAUGCAGCAACUGUGAAUGACCAAACAAAGAAACCAAACAGCUGAGUAUAAAACAAUCAUUCACAAUAGAUAUCAACAUGGCUAUGUUACCAGAUCGAUUUAUUUUAAUAAGACCCAGUAAAAUUGUCGGUUAUUGCGUUGCCCUGUGGUUGAAAAUAUAAAAGAAUGUUUAGCACAUAUAAAGGAUUUUGUUUGCCUUGAACGCAAUUUCUUGUAUUUGUUUUUCUAUUCUAAUUCUGCUUGGUUUUCCCCAACAUACCAAACAUAUAUUAGACGACAAUUCGGUCGUGAACAAUAUAAUAAAAAUGGUGUUUCAAAAUUUUAAAACAAUGGUUGAGAAACAUUUAUGUAAAAAGCAAUCACGCGAUUUAAAGACGGAAUUCUUAAGACGGGAGCCAUCAAAAUAUUUGCAGGAAUUCAAAAGAAGUUUAAAUUAGUGGAAAAGAUGCCGAGAAGGCUUAUAUUGAAAAAAAAUACAUAUAGGAGCCGAAUUCCACAAAAUAGAAAUUUACGUCCCGAAAUUUUGCACAACAAAUCUGAAAUCGGAUUAAGAAUACAUAUGGGAGCUAUAUCCAAAUCUUA
Musca domestica (house fly) is the source of this 648-nucleotide long non-coding RNA. RefSeq lists it as uncharacterized. The record is from RefSeq and is a predicted model, not a curated record. The transcript has 2 exons. Lineage: Eukaryota; Metazoa; Arthropoda; Insecta; Diptera; Muscidae.